Molecule: unclassified non-coding RNA, 329 nt
Filed under: Hevea brasiliensis (rubber tree)
Lineage: Eukaryota; Viridiplantae; Streptophyta; Magnoliopsida; Malpighiales; Euphorbiaceae
Source: RNAcentral
AGCUAUCCAUUGGGCUGCCACAUGAUUAAUACAUGUACAAUUACAAUAUACGGUUUCAACUGUAUCAAAUGCUGCACAGUUCCGACCAAUCACAGUGUGAAUUGUUAUUUGCAUCUUUAAAUUUAUUAAAUUAAUGUGAAGCUAUUAUGUACAUGGAUAAAGCUACAAAUGAGAUCAACAGACUACAUGCUAGCAACUAUAGAAGAAAGCUCUGUUUCUGCCUCUGGUUCUCCAUCGGACCCUUCCGCAUUUGUCUCUAAAUCCUUUGAUUUGUGUUUGGUAAGAUAUCGAUCCAAUGCACCCUUUCCAUAAAGGAUCUUGGCUCCAGU